This 488-nucleotide ribosomal RNA is filed under the name uncultured bacterium. RNAcentral's name for it is "partial 16S ribosomal RNA". It matches the Rfam family "Bacterial small subunit ribosomal RNA", at positions 355 to 833 of the family's 1533-position model. The record is from RNAcentral.
UGGGGAAUUUUGGACAAUGGGCGCAAGCCUGAUCCAGCCAUGCCGCGUGCGGGAAGAAGGCCUUCGGGUUGUAAACCGCUUUUGUCAGGGAAGAAAUCUUCUGAGUUAAUACCUCGGGAGGAUGACGGUACCUGAAGAAUAAGCACCGGCUAACUACGUGCCAGCAGCCGCGGUAAUACGUAGGGUGCAAGCGUUAAUCGGAAUUACUGGGCGUAAAGCGUGCGCAGGCGGUUUUGUAAGACAGAGGUGAAAUCCCCGGGCUCAACCUGGGAACUGCCUUUGUGACUGCAAGGCUUGAGUGCGGCAGAGGGGGGAUGGAAUUCCGCGUGUAGCAGUGAAAUGCGUAGAUAUGCGGAGGAACACCGAUGGCGAAGGCAAUCCCCUGGGCCUGCACUGACGCUCAUGCACGAAAGCGUGGGGAGCAAACAGGAUUAGAUAGCCCUGGUAGUCCACGCCCUAAACGAUGUCAACUGGUUGUUGGGAAGGUU